This 170-nucleotide ribosomal RNA is filed under the name uncultured bacterium. Its description in RNAcentral is "partial 16S ribosomal RNA". It matches the Rfam family "Bacterial small subunit ribosomal RNA", at positions 357 to 524 of the family's 1533-position model. The record is from RNAcentral.
AGGAAUAUUGGACAAUGGGCGAAAGCCUGAUCCAGCCAUGCCGCGUGAAGGAUGAAUGCCCUAUGGGUUGUAAACUUCUUUUAUACAGGAAGAAACCUUUGGAUUUAUCCAGAGCUGACAUUACUGUACGAAUAAGCAUCGGCUAACUCCGUGCCAGCAGCCGCGGUAAU